UACGAAGGGGGCUAGCGUUGUUCGGAAUUACUGGGCGUAAAGCGCGCGUAGGCGGUGAUCUUUGUCAGAGGUGAAAGCCCGAGGCUCAACUCCGGAAUUGCCUUUGAAACGGGAUCGCUUGAGUCCGAGAGAGGAUGGCGGAAUUCCUAGUGUAGAGGUGAAAUUCGUAGAUAUUAGGAAGAACACCGGUGGCGAAGGCGGCCAUCUGGCUCGGUACUGACGCUCAGGCGCGAAAGCGUGGGGAGCAAACAGG
RNAcentral lists this ribosomal RNA (253 nucleotides) under uncultured bacterium. RNAcentral's name for it is "partial 16S ribosomal RNA". It matches the Rfam family "Bacterial small subunit ribosomal RNA", at positions 524 to 776 of the family's 1533-position model. The record is from RNAcentral.